This 253-nucleotide ribosomal RNA is filed under the name uncultured bacterium. RNAcentral's name for it is "partial 16S ribosomal RNA". It matches the Rfam family "Bacterial small subunit ribosomal RNA", at positions 524 to 776 of the family's 1533-position model. The record is from RNAcentral.
UACGAAGGGUGCUAGCGUUGUUCGGAAUCACUGGGCGUAAAGCGCGCGUAGGCGGCUAUUCAAGUCAGAGGUGAAAGCCCUGGGCUCAACCCAGGAAUUGCCUUUGAAACUGUGUAGCUAGAGUGUCGGAGGGGAUAGCGGAAUUCCUAAUGUAGAGGUGAAAUUCGUAGAUAUUAGGAGGAACACCGGUGGCGAAGGCGGCUAUCUGGACGACAACUGACGCUGAGGCGCGAAAGCGUGGGGAUCAAACAGG